Molecule: small nuclear RNA, 190 nt
Organism: Suricata suricatta (meerkat)
Lineage: Eukaryota; Metazoa; Chordata; Mammalia; Carnivora; Herpestidae
Gene: U2
Rfam family: U2 spliceosomal RNA
About the family: U2 is a small nuclear RNA (snRNA) component of the spliceosome (involved in pre-mRNA splicing). Complementary binding between U2 snRNA (in an area lying towards the 5' end but 3' to hairpin I) and the branchpoint sequence (BPS) of the intron results the bulging out of an unpaired adenosine, on the BPS, which initiates a nucleophilic attack at the intronic 5' splice site, thus starting the first of two transesterification reactions that mediate splicing.
Source: Ensembl
AUCGCUUCUCGGCCUUUUGACUGAGAUCGAGUGUAGUAUCGUUCUUGUCAGUUUAAUAGGUAGAGACACUGAGACUUUGCUAGACACAGUAUACCAUCCUUGUUAAAAGCAAGUGAAUAGUCUUAUUUAUUCAUUUUAAAAAACAUCUUUUAAAAAAAUAUUUUAUUUAUUUUUUGAGAAGAGAGAAGAU